AAACUUUCAACAACGGAUCUCUUGGCUCCGGCAUCGAUGAAGAACGCAGCGAAAUGCGAUAAGUAAUGUGAAUUGCAGAAUUCAGUGAAUCAUCGAAUCUUUGAACGCACAUUGCGCCCCUUGGUAUUCCGAGGGGCAUACCUGUUCGAGCGUUAUUU
RNAcentral lists this ribosomal RNA (158 nucleotides) under Pannaria contorta. RNAcentral's name for it is "5.8S ribosomal RNA". It matches the Rfam family "5.8S ribosomal RNA". Rfam says of the family: 5.8S ribosomal RNA (5.8S rRNA) is a component of the large subunit of the eukaryotic ribosome. It is transcribed by RNA polymerase I as part of the 45S precursor that also contains 18S and 28S rRNA. Lineage: Eukaryota; Fungi; Ascomycota; Lecanoromycetes; Peltigerales; Pannariaceae. The record is from RNAcentral. RNAcentral also lists the same sequence under 1 other name.